ACGUAGGAGGCAAGCGUUGUCCGGAAUUACUGGGCGUAAAGCGCGUGUAGGUGGUGGGACAAGUCUGCUGUGAAAGCGCCUGGCUUAACCGGGCGAGGUCGGCGGAAACUGUCCGACUUGAGGACGGUAGAGGGGGGUGGAAUUCCCGGUGUAGUGGUGAAAUGCGUAGAGAUCGGGAGGAACACCUGUGGCGAAGGCGGCCAUCUGGGACAACACUGACGCUGAAGCACGAAAGCGUGGGGAGCAAACAGGA
Molecule: ribosomal RNA, 253 nt
Filed under: uncultured prokaryote
Description: partial 16S ribosomal RNA
Rfam family: Bacterial small subunit ribosomal RNA
Source: RNAcentral